Molecule: long non-coding RNA, 2073 nt
Organism: Phacochoerus africanus (Common warthog)
Lineage: Eukaryota; Metazoa; Chordata; Mammalia; Artiodactyla; Suidae
Exons: 3
Source: RefSeq, a predicted model, not a curated record
GGUGGCUACGCUCCGACUGGACCCCUAGCCUGGGAAUCUACACGUGCCUGGGGAGUGGCCCCAGAAAAGGCAAAAAGACAAAAAAACAAUCCCUCUUGGCUCUUUUAAAGGUUCUGCUGCCUAGAAACUGCGGAGACUGAGAAUUGAGCUGUACCAACACCGAGAAAGAUCUGAGUUGAAGGUGAUAAAAUGAAAUGAAUGGAGUGAGAUUAAAUUUUCAUAAUAAAAUCUAGACCAGGUUUGAAAAAUCUCCCUAGCUGGCAAAACAGAAUGAGCCACCUAAGCAAAACUAAAUCGAGUUUAUUUGAGAGCUUACGGGAAAUUUAGAUUAGGGUAUUUCUUGUAAAUGCCUUUGAAAACUAUUUAAAAAAAAAAAAAAAGGUACAAAACCGCAUACUGUGGUGAUCUGCUCCCCUGGAAACCCUUAUCAUAAAAAGCAAUCACUGUCAAGGUCAAACAACUUCCUCCUGUUCCCUUUACAAGCUGUUGGGAAACAUCAAACCUCUGAGCUUCAUACUUGUUCUAGAAGUAGGAAGGAAAGAGCGAUGAAGAACAUCAACGCUGGUUGAGUAAGUGGUGCUUGCACUGGCGGAUCCCAUUCUGCUCAAUGAUUUUUGACGGAUCUGGGAUCCCAGCUCUGUUCCCUUUGUGUUCUGCUCUCCGAUUUCAUCAAGGGACCUUUAUGGAAGCUUCUUGGUAAGUCACCCUACUCAACUCAAAAGGUAAGAAGCUUCUCAGUAAUUCCUUUUGUUUUGAAACUGCUGUGGGAAACCUGGCUGACAGAAUUAAGAUGUCUUAGGGAAUUCAAAGGCAAAUAUGGGUGCCACACGGUCCAAAAAUGGAACCAGGAUCUUGUGCCUUUUGAGGGAAUGGGUUAACUGUUGGACUAUUUGUGAUGAAAUAAAGUCUGUAUUUUCAACCAGCACAAGAAAAUGUGAACUUAAAAUUCUCUCUCUCCUUAGCACCCCCCAUUCAGCCUCCUCCCUGCCUCCCUAAUGUGCAGUAUGCCUGUGCAUCACAUGUCCACCAGACCGCCUCAGAAAUGGGAAUUCCUGCUCUAUUGCAAAGAUUAUUUUUCUCCUUUACCUGCCCCAAAGCCAGCAAUGUAACUUCUUCAAGAUUAGCACUUUCCCAACUCCGAGGGGGGUGCGCGGUGGCGGUGUGUGUGUGUGGGGGGGGGUCCACAGUGACAUACAGCUUGCUUUGUGUGUGUUUACCUGGACAUUGUAUCUUUAGUGAACUUUAUGUAACAUGUCAGCAUGUCAUUUUGAUGUAAGAUCCUUUGGAAAAUGUAUAUGACUGUGCCUUUGAUUACAGGAGGAACAGUUCUCAGAGCUUCUAAGAAUCAUCUCCUGGAUUGCAAUCUUCACUUUGGCUUGAAUAAAAUUCCCUUUUGCUUCUUAACUUGAUCCAUUAAAUUUCCAUCAUUUGCUUGGCAUAGUGGGCAGGAUAUCAGAGACACGCACCAGUGAACACCUGGAGUCUGCUCUGAACCUGUACUUGGUACCAGCUGGGCCCUUUGAGCCCCACCAGCUUCUUGGUAUUCCUCCUUCCUUCGGAAUGACCAAGAAGAAGCUCCUAUUGACAAAGCUGAUCUAAUUUGAUUUACUGAUGGUUCCUACUUAAAGGAUGAGCAGAGGCAUUAUAGAGCGGGGUAUGAAAUAACAUCCACAGUGAACAUAAGUGAGAGUUCUUAUUUACCAGAAACAAAGUCCACACAACAAGCCAAAUCAAUUGCCUUAACCUGAGCUUUUUAACUGGCUACAGACCAGCUAGUGAAUAUUUAUACUGACAGCUGCAAUGCCUCACACAAAAAGAAAUAUAUUGCUCUAAUGAAAGUUUAUAAAUGGGAGGGAGAGGAAUGGUGCAAAUCAACAUGUAUCAUUCUGAUGAACAAUUGUAAAUGGGAAAAAAGCAGUGCAGAUCAAAAUAGAAAUAUACUGUUCUGAUGAGAAACCGUACUGGGAGGAAAACAAACUUUAAAAAAAAGAACCAAAAAAAAAAAUCAUUCCAAUGAAAUAUUGUAAAUGAUGGGAAUGUGGUGCAAAUCAGAAUAUAUACCUCUGAUGAAAA